RNAcentral lists this ribosomal RNA (253 nucleotides) under uncultured bacterium. RNAcentral's name for it is "partial 16S ribosomal RNA". It matches the Rfam family "Bacterial small subunit ribosomal RNA", at positions 524 to 776 of the family's 1533-position model. The record is from RNAcentral.
UACGUAGGGGGCAAGCGUUGUCCGGAAUCACUGGGCGUAAAGCGCGCGCAGGCGGUCAUCUACGUCUGGGGUGAAAGCCCGGAGCUCAACUCCGGAACUGCCUUGGAUACGGGAUGACUUGAGGAUCGGAGAGGCAAGGGGAAUUCCACGUGUAGCGGUGAAAUGCGUAGAGAUGUGGAGGAACACCUGUGGCGAAGGCGGCUCACUGGACUGGUAUUGACGCUGAGGUGCGAAAGCGUGGGGAGCAAACAGG